This 878-nucleotide unclassified non-coding RNA is filed under the name Hevea brasiliensis (rubber tree). Lineage: Eukaryota; Viridiplantae; Streptophyta; Magnoliopsida; Malpighiales; Euphorbiaceae. The record is from RNAcentral.
GGCAGGGAAUGAUAUGACUGAAAUUGCUUCUGUAAAGAGUUUUCUUAAUUAGACUUUUCGCAUCAAAGAUCUGGGCACAUUAAAGUUUUUCCUUGGCUUAGAAAUAGCUAGAAAUUCUAAAGGCAUGGUGAUUAAUCAACGCAAGUAUGCUUUAGAAAUUCUUUCAGAUGCUAGAUAUCUUGCUUCCAAACCUGUUUCGACACCAAUGGAUAGUUCUUUGAAAUUAAGCAAAACUAGUGGUACUCUUCUUUCUGAUGUUGCUUCCUACAGGCGAUUGAUUGGCAGACUCUUAUAUCUCACCACCACAUGACCUGAUCUUACUUAUGCUGUCCAAUAGCUAAGUCAAUAUCUUACUGCCCCAACUGAUAAUCAUUUAAAGGAUGCCCAUCGUGUUUUGCGAUAUAUUAAAAAGUCUCCAGGCCUUGGUUUAUUUUUCCCUGCUAACUCUCAACUCCAAUUGAAAUACUUUGUUGAUUCUGAUUGGGCAGGGUGUCCUGAUACUAGGCGAUCAGUUACGGGUUUUAGUGUUUUUUUGGGAAUCUCUUUAGUUUCUUGGAAAUCUAAGAAGCAAACAACUGUUUCGCGCUCCUCUUCAGAAGCUGAAUAUAGGGCUCUCGCAGCAGUGACUUGUGAAAUCCAGUGGCUAACGUAUUUACAUGCAGAUUUUCAAUGUCUUUUAAGCAACCUACCUUGGUGUAUUGUGAUAAUAAGUCCGCUUUGCAUAUAGUUGCGAAUCCCAUCUUUCAUGAGCGUUCGAAACACAUUGAAUUGGGUUGUCAUUUGGUUCGUGAAAAGCUUCAGCGAGGUCUUAUUAAGUUGCUUCUUAUUUCUACUUCAUCACAGAUAGCUGAAAUCUUCACUACGCCCUUGACACCUGC